UGACAGAUUGAGUGCCGCAAUGCUUAAAUUGAUGAAUUAGUUUGCUGGAAUUGGUGUAAAGGUUGCAUCGCAGGGGCACAUGAGGAAAGGAUGGGCAUCGGAGUGGAGCGGAGAUGCUGUUCUGCCAAGUCGUGGACGGAUGUGCUGUAAUUUUUUCUUGAAUUGGAAACUCUCCAAUUUUUUUUCUUAUGGUAGAGGAUC
This 201-nucleotide long non-coding RNA is filed under the name Glycine max (soybean). RNAcentral's name for it is "long non-coding RNA (GMAX_LNC002960)". Lineage: Eukaryota; Viridiplantae; Streptophyta; Magnoliopsida; Fabales; Fabaceae. The record is from RNAcentral.